Sciurus carolinensis (gray squirrel) is the source of this 416-nucleotide long non-coding RNA. RefSeq lists it as uncharacterized. NCBI's taxonomy places the organism in Eukaryota, Metazoa, Chordata, Mammalia, Rodentia, Sciuridae. The transcript has 3 exons. The record is from RefSeq and is a predicted model, not a curated record.
CGCGACUGUACCCGCGGCCCCGAGCUCCUGCCGAGGAGCACCCGGGUCCCAGCGGCCGACCAGGCGGCGAGGCGCGGGCUCCGGCCCCUAGAAGACUAUGGUCCCUGGCCCUGUGCCUGCUGGGUUCAGUGAAGUCCACCAGUGAGCAUGGUAUUUCUGCUGGAAAACAAAGAACUGAUGUAACAGGAGCUAGGACAGAGCGUUCCAUUGCAGGAUCAGACUGUGUUCUCCACCAGCCGGGAAUGGGUGGACCAAGGAGGACCAGCCAGGCGGCCAUGAUCCCCCAGAGACACAGGCGAGCUUCCACUGCCCCACACCAGGCCCCCAGGCCCUCUCCCCUGUGCCCUGCUCCCAAGUUGCUCUGUGCCACCUUCAAUCAAGAUGUCACUCCCAGGGAUGUUUUGACGGAGACGAGA